CAUUAAGUUGGGCACUCUAGAGAGACUGCCAGGGAUAACCUGGAGGAAGGUGGGGAUGACGUCAAAUCAUCAUGCCCCUUAUGCUUAGGGCUACACACGUGCUACAAUGGGUAGUACAGAGGGUUGCCAAGCCGUAAGGUGGAGCUAAUCCCUUAAAGCUACUCUCAGUUCGGAUUGUAGGCUGAAACUCGCCUACAUGAAGCUGGAGUUACUAGUAAUCGCAGAUCAGAAUGCUGCGGUGAAUGCGUUCCCGGGUCUUGUACACACCGCCCGUCACACCACGGGAGUUGGAGACGCCCGAAGCCGAUUAUCUAACCUUUUGGAAGAAGUCGUCGAAGGUGGAAUCAAUAACUGGGGUGAAGUCGUAACAAGGUAGCCGUAUCGGAAGGUGCGGCUGGAUCACCUCCUUUCUAAGGAGA
RNAcentral lists this ribosomal RNA (419 nucleotides) under Clostridioides difficile. RNAcentral describes it as "bacterial SSU rRNA". It matches the Rfam family "Bacterial small subunit ribosomal RNA", at positions 1122 to 1533 of the family's 1533-position model. Lineage: Bacteria; Bacillati; Bacillota; Clostridia; Peptostreptococcales; Peptostreptococcaceae. The record is from RNAcentral.